GACGAACGCUGGCGGCGUGCCUAAUACAUGCAAGUGGGACGCAAGGAAACACACUGUGCUUGCACACCGUGUUUUCUUGAGUCGCGAACGGGUGAGUAACGCGUAGGUAACCUGCCUAUUAGCGGGGGAUAACUAUUGGAAACGAUAGCUAAUACCGCAUAAUAUUAAUUAUUGCAUGAUAAUUGAUUGAAAGAUGCAAGCGCAUCACUAGUAGAUGGACCUGCGUUGUAUUAGCUAGUUGGUAAGGUAAGAGCUUACCAAGGCGACGAUACAUAGCCGACCUGGGAGGGUGGUCGGCCACACUGGGACUGAGACACGGCCCAGACUCCUACGGGAGGCAGCAGUAGGGAAUCUUCGGCAAUGGACGAAAGUCUGACCGAGCAACGCCGCGUGAGUGAAGAAGGUUUUCGGAUCGUAAAGCUCUGUUGUAAGUCAAGAACGUGUGUGAGAGUGGAAAGUUCACACAGUGACGGUAGCUUACCAGAAAGGGACGGCUAACUACGUG
This 505-nucleotide ribosomal RNA is filed under the name uncultured bacterium. Its description in RNAcentral is "partial 16S ribosomal RNA". It matches the Rfam family "Bacterial small subunit ribosomal RNA", at positions 28 to 507 of the family's 1533-position model. The record is from RNAcentral.